This 500-nucleotide ribosomal RNA is filed under the name uncultured bacterium. RNAcentral's name for it is "partial 16S ribosomal RNA". It matches the Rfam family "Bacterial small subunit ribosomal RNA", at positions 29 to 523 of the family's 1533-position model. The record is from RNAcentral.
AUUGAACGCUGGCGGCAUGCCUUACACAUGCAAGUCGAACGGCAGCACGGGAGCAAUCCUGGUGGCGAGUGGCGAACGGGUGAGUAAAGUAUCGGAACGUGCCCAGUCGUGGGGGAUAACGUAGCGAAAGUUACGCUAAUACCGCAUACGAUCUAUGGAUGAAAGCGGGGGAUCGCAAGACCUCGCGCGAUUGGAGCGGCCGAUAACAGAUUAGGUAGUUGGUGGGGGAAGGGCUCACCAAGCCGACGAUCUGUAGCUGGUCGGGGAGGACGACCAGCCACACUGGGACUGAGACACGGCCCAGACUCCUACGGGAGGCAGGAGUGGGGAAUUUUGGACAAUGGGCGAAAGCCUGAUCCAGCCAUGCCGCGUGCAGGAUGAAGGCCUUCGGGUUGUAAACUGCUUUUGUACGGAACGAAAAGGUUUGGCCUAAUAAGCUGAGCUCAUGACGGUACCGUAAGAAUAAGCACCGGCUAACUACGUGCCAGCAGCCGCCGUAA